RNAcentral lists this long non-coding RNA (255 nucleotides) under Ovis aries (sheep). Its description in RNAcentral is "lncRNA (ENSOARG00000026839.1)". The record is from RNAcentral. Lineage: Eukaryota; Metazoa; Chordata; Mammalia; Artiodactyla; Bovidae.
GUACUCAGUUCUAUAGAUUGCUUAACUGGCCUACCUUAAGUGUACAUCUAUUAGAGGGAAACAAAUAGAAUGUUAUAUAUACUGAUUCUUGAUAUUGGGAGUACUAAUAGUAUACGAUCUCUUCCACAGUGAAGUGGAAACUCCUAAAGCACUUUUUACAUCCAUGGCCAAGAGUCCAGAGAUUGCUGUUAUUCCUCUAAUUGCACUGUAUGUGGUAUCAUAUUAUUCCAGAAUAUCAUGAAAAAUAGCUUUCAC